RNAcentral lists this unclassified non-coding RNA (333 nucleotides) under soil metagenome. Its description in RNAcentral is "partial contains 5.8S ribosomal RNA, internal transcribed spacer 2, and large subunit ribosomal RNA". The stretch from base 4 to 118 matches the Rfam family "5.8S ribosomal RNA", at positions 40 to 154 of the family's 154-position model. The record is from RNAcentral.
GAUGGAACGCAGCGAAAUGCGAUAAGUAAUGUGAAUUGCAGAAUUCAGUGAAUCAUCGAAUCUUUGAACGCACAUUGCGCCCGCCAGUAUUCUGGCGGGCAUGCCUGUUCGAGCGUCAUUUCAACCAUCAAGCCCCCGGCUUGUGUUGGGGACCUGCGGCUGCCGCAGGCCCUGAAAACCAGUGGCGGGCUCGCUAGUCACUCCGAGCGUAGUAAUACAUCUCGCUCAGGGCGUGCUGCGGGUUCCGGCCGUUAAAAAGCCUUAUUUACCCAAGGUUGACCUCGGAUCAGGUAGGAAGACCCGCUGAACUUAAGCAUAUCAAUAAGCGGAGGA